This 497-nucleotide ribosomal RNA is filed under the name uncultured bacterium. RNAcentral describes it as "partial 16S ribosomal RNA". It matches the Rfam family "Bacterial small subunit ribosomal RNA", at positions 28 to 507 of the family's 1533-position model. The record is from RNAcentral.
GAUGAACGCUGGCGGCGUGCCUAAUACAUGCAAGUCGAGCGAACAGAUGAGGAGCUUGCUCCUCUGACGUUAGCGGCGGACGGGUGAGUAACACGUGGAUAACCUACCUAUAAGACUGGGAUAACUUCGGGAAACCGGAGCUAAUACCGGAUAAUAUAUUGAACCGCAUGGUUCAAUAGUGAAAGACGGUUUUGCUGUCACUUAUAGAUGGAUCCGCGCCGCAUUAGCUAGUUGGUAAGGUAACGGCUUACCAAGGCAACGAUGCGUAGCCGACCUGAGAGGGUGAUCAGCCACACUGGAACUGAGACACGGUCCAGACUCCUACGGGAGGCAGCAGUAGGGAAUCUUCCACAAUGGGCGAAAGCCUGACGGAGCAACGCCGCGUGAGUGAUGAAGGUCUUCGGAUCGUAAAACUCUGUUAUUAGGGAAGAACAAAUGUGUAAGUAACUAUGCACGUCUUGACGGUACCUAAACAGAAAGCCACGGCUAACUACGUG